CACAUGUUAUGAAUGAGCCAUGAAUGGCGCACCGCGCGGGACACGAACGGAUAAAAUGGACGCGAGGAGACAAACAUCCUUGAGGAGGUCAGAGUAUUGAGAUACCUGUAAGAUGAUAGAGCAAGGAAUGACCGAUGUGAGGGCAGCAUCACCGGAGAAAGAGCACAACCUGAAAGAGGAAGCAGGGGCAAGAGAAAAACAAGUUCCAGUGAGGACCCUGGUGACAGCGACCUGACAGUGAUGAGGAACAAGAACAGCAGGUGGAAAACACAGUCACUUUCAUCAUCUCUUUGGAAACCAACUUUUGCUGGUGUUAAAGGCGUUGGCAGUGUGGUUGGUCCCUGAAAGUGGGUGAAUCAUCUUCUGGUAAUCCUGCCCUGAUAUGGGAAGGUGAAAGCAGUGUGGUUGGUCCCCUUCCUGUGGGCUCAUCUCCUGGCAUCACUGUGUGGUUGGUCCCCUUCCUGUGGGCUCAUCUUAUGGCAUCACUGUGUGGUUGGUCCCCUUCCUGUGGGCUCAUCUUCUGGCAUCA
Long non-coding RNA from Acanthaster planci (crown-of-thorns starfish), 529 nucleotides. RefSeq lists it as uncharacterized. The record is from RefSeq and is a predicted model, not a curated record. Lineage: Eukaryota; Metazoa; Echinodermata; Asteroidea; Valvatida; Acanthasteridae.